AGCUACAGGCUUAACACAUGCAAGUCGAGGGGAAACGACAUCGAAAGCUUGCUUUUGAUGGGCGUCGACCGGCGCACGGGUGAGUAACGCGUAUCCAACCUGCCCACCACUUGGGGAUAACCUUGCGAAAGUAAGACUAAUACCCAAUGAUAUCUCUAGAAGACAUCUGAAAGAGAUUAAAGAUUUAUCGGUGAUGGAUGGGGAUGCGUCUGAUUAGCUUGUUGGCGGGGUAACGGCCCACCAAGGCGACGAUCAGUAGGGGUUCUGAGAGGAAGGUCCCCCACAUUGGAACUGAGACACGGUCCAAACUCCUACGGGAGGCAGCAGUGAGGAAUAUUGGUCAAUGGACGAGAGUCUGAACCAGCCAAGUAGCGUGCAGGAUGACGGCCCUAUGGGUUGUAAACUGCUUUUAUAAGGGAAUAAAGUGAGUCUCGUGAGACUUUUUGCAUGUACCUUAUGAAUAAGGACCGGCUAAUUCCGUGCCAGCAGCCGCGGUAAUACGGAAGGUCCGGGCGUUAUCCGGAUUUAUUGGGUUUAAAGGGAGCGUAGGCCGGAGAUUAAGCGUGUUGUGAAAUGUAGACGCUCAACGUCUGCACUGCAGCGCGAACUGGUUUCCUUGAGUACGCACAAAGUGGGCGGAAUUCGUGGUGUAGCGGUGAAAUGCUUAGAUAUCACGAAGAACUCCGAUUGCGAAGGCAGCUCACUGGAGCGCAACUGACGCUGAAGCUCGAAAGUGCGGGUAUCGAACAGGAUUAGAUACCCUGGUAGUCCGCACGGUAAACGAUGGAUGCCCGCUGUUGGUCUGAAUAGGUCAGCGGCCAAGCGAAAGCAUUAAGCAUCCCACCUGGGGAGUACGCCGGCAACGGUGAAACUCAAAGGAAUUGACG
Molecule: ribosomal RNA, 887 nt
Filed under: uncultured bacterium
Lineage: Bacteria
Description: bacterial SSU rRNA
Rfam family: Bacterial small subunit ribosomal RNA
Source: RNAcentral